UACAUGGGGUGCAACCGUUGCUCGGAAUUAUUGGGCGUAAAGCGCGCGUAGGCGGUUACUUAAGUCGGAUGUGAAAGCCCUCGGCUUAACUGAGGAAGUGCACCCGAAACUGAGUAGCUGGAGUACGAAAGAGGGUCGCGGAAUUCCCGGUGUAGAGGUGAAAUUCGUAGAUAUCGGGAGGAACACCGGUGGCGAAGGCGGCGACCUGGGUCGAGACUGACGCUGAGGCGCGAAAGCGUGGGGAGCAAACAGG
This 253-nucleotide ribosomal RNA is filed under the name uncultured bacterium. RNAcentral's name for it is "partial 16S ribosomal RNA". It matches the Rfam family "Bacterial small subunit ribosomal RNA", at positions 524 to 776 of the family's 1533-position model. The record is from RNAcentral.